Molecule: small nucleolar RNA, 101 nt
Organism: Nycticebus coucang (slow loris)
Lineage: Eukaryota; Metazoa; Chordata; Mammalia; Primates; Lorisidae
Product: small nucleolar RNA U13
Exons: 1
Source: RefSeq, a predicted model, not a curated record
AUCCUUUUGUAGUUCAUAACCAUAAUAAUUGGGUUUUCAUGCGCAUGCGUUAGAUGUGCCUCCCACAAAUCUUGUGACGUUGGCACAUUACCCGUCUGAUA